Molecule: long non-coding RNA, 2345 nt
Organism: Manis pentadactyla (Chinese pangolin)
Lineage: Eukaryota; Metazoa; Chordata; Mammalia; Pholidota; Manidae
Exons: 5
Source: RefSeq, a predicted model, not a curated record
UCUAAGAAAAAAAGAGAAAAAGCAAUCAGCUAACCUGAGCCAUGGGGAGGGGAAGACUUUUCUUAAGCUUCACUUUCCUCAUCUUUUCAGCUGACACUCUGUGUAGAGUGAAGGUUUCUGGGCACAUAGAAAAACACAGCGGUUAUCCUGCGUGGUAGGUCCCAGGUGAGGAAAGACUUCUCAGAGAGUUAGUCUGAUUCUAAUUCUUUAAUAGCUGAUUGUAUUCACAUAUUUUUAUGUUUAGGGACAUCUUUUAAUAACUUAUAACACUCUCUCUGUAUUUGUGUCAUUAUUAGACAUGGUGAAGUGCCUUUAACUGCAGAGCAGAUUUUUCCAGCCUUCAUACACAUGGAAUUUCUAGCUGCGAAUGUUUUCAAUUCCUUCAUAUUUCCUGGUUAACUCCAAUGUACAGUGAUCCUGUGAACUUAUGUGGCUUCUAUUCUUGCUAUCAUUCCUUUCAUAUUUACCUUAUGUAAUAUUGUGAUGCUGCCAGCUAACUUUUGAUGGACGUGGGUUCAGCCUCCCUAAUUGCAUUUUAAGCGCCCUGAGGACAGAGACGUUGUGGGGCUCUGACACGCACCAUGCCUUGCACACGGAGGGCGCCCCAUGCAAAUGUGCUAAUGCCAGGUGCUGGCAGGGUGAGUGGGUCAAUCGCUUCAUCCAGGGCGGGAAUGGCUGGCAUGGGUGAGAAGGAAAUCAGGACAGUGAGAGAAUGGGUUCCCAACCCAGUUAAGGGUUUCUUUGGCCAAAAACAACCCCAGCAUGGGAGGUUAUUUUUUACAGGGAAGAGAAAAUAGACCCUGAACUACAAUAAUUAUUUCUGGCUGAAGCAAUGAAAUGCUGAAGUUGCUAUUGAAGACGCAGAGGGAGAAACACCUACUGUAUAACAGGAGUGUACUUCAGGGGCUCCAGUGAGAGAUGACAAAAGCCUGAAGAGAAUCAGUUAAUAGUGGAGGUGGCUGGUGAAGCAAAGAAAGGAGCAUUGCCCCCUCUGAGGAGGUAACAGCCCCUCAGGGACAGGCCUUGUCAACAACAGCUUUACAACUUAACAGCACCCAUAACGCUGGCUGGCAACUUGAUGCGAAGGGUCUUCUGAAGUUGCUUAUUGAAGUGAACCGAACUUGUACUACACUCCCCGCUCUCCACAACGAAACUGACCAUCACUACCGGUACCCAGUCACUUUAAAUUUUACACUAAUAUGGAGAGAAAAGCAUAAAGAAAAAAGGCAGAAGCUCAGGAAGGAUGUGCAUUACAGAAAGGAAAAAGCAAAGAUGAAGGAAGGAGAAAAGGUGUCAGCCCUUUAAAUCCCCUGGGAGUCACUUCAGCUGGAGAGAAAGGGACUUGCAACAGUAGAAGUGUGACAGCCAUAGCUGCCCACCGGCUAGUCUGUACUUCUGUGAUCUGGAGCAGCAACCAGUGAUCAGAGAACAGACCCCCAGUAUUUGGAAGACAGGGUCCUUAUUGCCCCCUCUGGUUCCUGCAAGCUGCACGCAACCUACUCCAGGAGCAUGUCGGUCAUGUGGCCCUGGGUGGCAGACGUGUAGCUGCUACUGCACUAAGAGCUGAAGUUGACUGAAAUGAACCACAAUUUGCCAUCCAAGCCUGCCCCUGCAAGUUGCAAACCUUGAACAGACCCCGGAGUUCCAAGCUGGUUACAUCAGACAGACUCUACCAGUGUGUAGAAGUGUAGGUCAAGGUGGGAAGGUAGAUUUCUGGUGCUUCCUGCUCUGCCAUCUUCCCACUGUUUGUCAUAUUUUUUAAGCUGCAUAGCUUAGAUCAGUAGUUCUAACUGCCAAGUUAAAAGGAAUUUACAGGGCAAAAGAGCAUGUUAAACGACACCACAGAUAUACAAUCAGCAAAAUCCAGACUGUGGGAACUCUACAAGACAAUGACCUGACCUGACUUUGUUAAAAAUUAUUUUUAGAGAGAGAUAAAAAAGAGGGGAAACUGUAGCUUAAAAGAGACUUAAUCACACAAAAUCAAGUGCAGUGUGUGGGUUUUGUUUGGAUCCUGACUUGACAAAACAGGAAAAAUAUUUUUAUGAGACAGGGAGGCAAGAGGAUGAGAGAAAAGAAAACCUGACGCCAGAAGGACAAGUCUGAGCGGGGAGGCCAGGAGCCGAGGAAUGGGGGCGGCCCCAGCAGCUGGGACGCACAAGGAGCAGAUGCUCCCCCAGAGCUUCUAGGAGGACCACAGCCUUUGAUUUUAGCCCUGUAAGACCUAUUUAAGGUUUGUGACCUCCAGAACUGUAUGAAAAUAAAGCUGUGCUGUUCUAAACCACUAAGUUUGUGGCGAUUUGUUAUGGCAGCAAUUAGAAACUAAUACAUUCAACUUCAAGCAAUGU